GCCCUCAUCGUCUAUAGAGGUUCAGGACAUCUUUAUUUAAAGAAGAUAACGGGGAUUCGACUUCCCCUGAGGGUA
This 75-nucleotide transfer RNA is filed under the name Gastrodia menghaiensis. Its description in RNAcentral is "tRNA-Glu". Lineage: Eukaryota; Viridiplantae; Streptophyta; Magnoliopsida; Asparagales; Orchidaceae. The record is from RNAcentral. RNAcentral also lists the same sequence under 4 other names.